UACGUAGGGGGCAAGCGUUAUCCGGAAUUACUGGGUGUAAAGGGAGCGUAGACGGUGAUGCAAGUCUGGAGUGAAAGGCGGGGGCCCAACCCCCGGACUGCUCUGGAAACUGUGUAACUUGAGUGCAGGAGAGGUAAGCGGAAUUCCUAGUGUAGCGGUGAAAUGCGUAGAUAUUAGGAGGAACACCAGUGGCGAAGGCAGCUUACCAGACUGUUACUGACGCUGAAGCACGAGAGCGUGGGUAGCGAACAGG
Molecule: ribosomal RNA, 253 nt
Filed under: uncultured Eubacteriales bacterium
Lineage: Bacteria; Bacillati; Bacillota; Clostridia; Eubacteriales
Description: uncultured Clostridiales bacterium partial 16S ribosomal RNA
Rfam family: Bacterial small subunit ribosomal RNA
Source: RNAcentral